RNAcentral lists this long non-coding RNA (1449 nucleotides) under Canis lupus familiaris (dog). Its description in RNAcentral is "lncRNA (ENSCAFG00000051434.1)". The record is from RNAcentral. Lineage: Eukaryota; Metazoa; Chordata; Mammalia; Carnivora; Canidae.
ACUUGUUAAUUCCAUCUUCUUUUCCUGACUAGAAUUAUAUUCCUUACCAAGAAGGGAAAGGGAAAGUUUUGGAUCUUGAGCCAGUCUUUCAGGAUCCAAGAACCAGUGUCGUUUGGAGAGCUCAGGGUAAAAGUGGAAAGCUGAGCAUACAUUGCUCUCAUCACGCAUUGACAAUCUGACCAAAACGUCAGAUCUGGGCUUCUAUUGCUCCUGAUUUCUCUCCUCUGUUCCUACCUUCUCAACCAUUUCAUUUGUCCCGGAGAAGGAUCACAACCGCAAAACGGAGUCCAGAAAUAUCAGUCCAUGGGAUGCCUGGGUGGCUCAGCAGUUGAGUGUCUGCCUUUGGCUCAGGGAAGGAUCCCUGUCCGGUGAUGGAGUCCUGCAUCAGACUCCCUGCAUGGAGCCUGCUUCUUCCUCUCCCUGUGUCUCUGCCUCUCUCUCUCUGUGUGUAUCUCUCGUGAAUAAAUAGACUUUAAAAAAAAAAAAAAAAAAAGAAGAAGAAGAAGAAGAAAAGAAAAGAAAUAUCAGUCCACAAUGGAUUGGAAAUUCUAAAAACCGGUCCUUCAGGAGCACUUGGGUAGCUCAGUCAGCUUAGCAUGUACCUUCAGCUUAGGUCAUGAUCCCAGUGUUCUGGGAUCAAGGGAUUGGGCUCCUUGCUAAGCUGAGAGACUGCUGCUCCCUCUCCCUCUGACUGCCCCUCCCCCUGCUUUCUCUCUUUCUGUCAAAUAAAUAAAUAAAAUCUUUAAAUAAAUAAGUAAGAAAUUAAAAACUAAUCCUUCACCCCAGAUAAUUUGACAAGCAUUGGUCUGAAGUCCAUCUCCCCUUGCCUACUUCUGCACAUUCUCACACACAAAAUGUACACAUGGUGAAGAAAAAGGUUAAAAACGCUUUUGCGGAACUAUGUUAAUUACAAUGUGAAAAAAGUUGAGUGACAUGGAAAAAUUAUCCUGACAUAUGUAGAAAAAAAGCAGAUUACAGAAAACAAUGUAAAGUAUAACCUUGAAUUUGCAAAAUGGAUUUAUGAAUAGCAGAAUAUGGAGGGUGGUAUCUCUAGCAUAGAGUAUCAGGUUAAUAUCUGAAGAAUAAAUGGUGGAGCUUUUUUUUUUCAUUUCCUUUUUUCAGCUUAACUAUAUUUUCCACAAUGGACAUAUAAUAUUUUGUAAUGUAAAAAUCUAAUGCAUAGUAUCACCUUUUAUUUGGAAGUUUACUGAAAGGGAAAAUUAAGACCAUGCUCUGUUUUGGUCUUUGCCUUCAUGGUUCCAUUCAGUUUAGAUUGUUGGUUAAUAAUUAAUUUUUCUAUAAAGGAAAGGAAUAAUAUUGCUUCAAAUAAUACUUGUUUAAAAAGCAAGUUUCAGUUGUUUUAAUCCAACAGAAUAUUUUCCUAUUUUUUACAAAUAAAAUAUCUGAAAAAUUUGCAACUGAACUUCUGCUUCUGGAUCAUAAAUGGUG